RNAcentral lists this ribosomal RNA (484 nucleotides) under uncultured bacterium. RNAcentral's name for it is "partial 16S ribosomal RNA". It matches the Rfam family "Bacterial small subunit ribosomal RNA", at positions 29 to 507 of the family's 1533-position model. The record is from RNAcentral.
AUUGAACGCUGGCGGCAUGCUUUACACAUGCAAGUCGAACGGCAGCGCGGGCUUCGGCCUGGCGGCGAGUGGCGAACGGGUGAGUAAUGCAUCGGAACGUGCCCAGUAGUGGGGGAUAGCCCGGCGAAAGCCGGAUUAAUACCGCAUACGACCUGAGGGUGAAAGCGGGGGACCGAAAGGCCUCGCGCCAUUGGAGCGGCCGAUGUCGGAUUAGCUAGUUGGUGGGGUAAAGGCUUACCAAGGCGACGAUCCGUAGCUGGUCUGAGAGGACGACCAGCCACACUGGGACUGAGACACGGCCCAGACUCCUACGGGAGGCAGCAGUGGGGAAUUUUGGACAAAGGGGGCAAGCCUGAUCCAGCCAUGCCGCGUGCGGGAAGAAGGCCUUCGGGUUGUAAACCGCUUUUGUUCGGGAAGAAAUCCUGUGGGCUAAUACCCCGGGGGGAUGACGGUACCGGAAGAAUAAGCACCGGCUAACUACGUG